RNAcentral lists this transfer RNA (92 nucleotides) under Candidatus Peribacteraceae bacterium. RNAcentral's name for it is "tRNA-OTHER". The record is from RNAcentral. Lineage: Bacteria; Candidatus Peregrinibacteriota; Candidatus Peribacteria; Candidatus Peribacterales.
GCGGGGACGGGCUCCAGGUGCUGAUGAGGAUUUUCUCGCAAGGCUCAUAAUCCCGCGGCCGCGGGAUCGCAGGUUCAAAUCCUGUCCCCGCA